Non-coding RNA from Pelobates cultripes (western spadefoot toad), 868 nucleotides. The record is from the annotation of a GenBank genome assembly. Lineage: Eukaryota; Metazoa; Chordata; Amphibia; Anura; Pelobatidae.
GCGAGUGGCCCAGUAUGGGGAUGAUUUACCCAUGGAGGUACGCCGGGUGAUCUGGAACCAGGUCACGGCCGAGCGAAACACAAGGCUGGCCCGAGAAUUCCGGCUGGCGAAAGAGAGAGAGUAUGCUCAGCGGAAGGAGUGUUACAGCAGCCGAGUAGAGGCUGCAUCUGAGGAGGCUAGCCGUCUCCUCCUGAGGCGGCCGCAGGAACCCGAAGUAGGGGUCCUCAUAGACUGGUCCUGUGAGGAACCACAACAGGCAGGGGGAGAUGGGACCGAGGUCUCUCCACCGGGUCCGCCGGGAUGCUGGGCAGCCGGCCCAGAUCCCCAUCAGCAGCCGGAGUUGCCAGGUGCGGAAGCAGGUGGUCCUUACUCGCAAAUGUUGAGGGACCUCACAGACUGGUCCUGGGAAGACCCACAGAUGGCAGGUGGAGAUGGGACCGCGGUCUCUCUACCGGCCCUACAGGGAUGCUGGGCGGUUGGCCCAGAUCUCCAGCGGCAGUAUGUAUCACAGGGAGCUGAAGGUGCUGUCCUUCCUCCCCAGCGGCAGUGUGAGUUCCAGGGAGCCGAAGGUGCUGUCCUUCCUCCCCAGCGGCAGAGUGUGUCCUUAGGAGAGGAGACAGUUGGUCCCUCUCCCCAGCAGUCCAGUAAGUCACAAGGAGCCGAAGGUGCCGUCCUUCCUCCCCAGCGGCAGUGUGUCCUGCAGGGAGCAGAGACAGUUGGUCUCGCUUCCCAGCAGCGGGACAAUAUAUUGAAAGGGGAGACAGUCGGUCCCCCUCUCCACCAGCAGAGAGAGUGUCAGGGAGAGGAGCCUGUUACCCCCUCUCCCCAGCGGCAGCAUAGCCCACCAAGGGGAGAUGAUAAGCCCCAC